Molecule: non-coding RNA, 593 nt
Filed under: Schistosoma margrebowiei
Lineage: Eukaryota; Metazoa; Platyhelminthes; Trematoda; Strigeidida; Schistosomatidae
Description: Eukaryotic small subunit ribosomal RNA
Rfam family: Eukaryotic small subunit ribosomal RNA
Source: Rfam by way of RNAcentral
AAAUUUGCAGUAGUUAAAAAGCUGAUAGCUGAUUACAAGUCAUACAGUCGCAUACCGUUGUUAGUUCACAGUUUUGGUUACAAUCAGGACCAGUGGUUAGUUUGUUGUAAUGAUUGUGUAGUCUUUCAAACAAGUUUGUGUUAAACGGGUGCUAAUCAAUUGAUGAACUUGUCUUGCUAACACGUCGGUAUGUUUCUGAAUGCCUUUCCAUGACGUGUCGGGAGUGGAUAGUAUCUAUAGUUUGAAUAGGUUUGAGUGCUUAAAGUAGGCCUAUGAACCUAAAAUUCUUUCAUAGGAUAAUGAAAUAAAACUUUGAAUUUACUUUGUUGAAUUUUGGAUUCGAAGUAAUCGUUAAGAAGUAUAGACGGGGUAUUAUAUGUUCGUGUUGGAGGUGAAAUUCUGAGAUUAUCCCCAAACAAGCUAAGAAUGUUGCUAAGAAUGUUCUCAUUGAUCAGGGGCGAAAUUCGGAGUUUCGAAGGCGGUCAGAUAUCGUUCUAAUUAUGACCAUAAUUGAUAUCAACCGGGGAUCCGGAUUGGUUCUAUAGUUGGAAUGACGCACAGUUCCCAGGAAACCUUUAAGUUUCUGGGCUCCG